Molecule: long non-coding RNA, 41719 nt
Filed under: Prunus persica (peach)
Lineage: Eukaryota; Viridiplantae; Streptophyta; Magnoliopsida; Rosales; Rosaceae
Description: long non-coding RNA (PPER_LNC005337)
Rfam family: Plant small nucleolar RNA R71 (bases 38887-38993)
Source: RNAcentral
UGAGCUGGCUGCCAUGUGAUUAAGCAGUUGAACGAAUCGUUGCUUAAUUCGGUUUUUCCCGUUAAUCGAUGUUCCGGUUCUGGCUUUGCACGUGCGUCGCACGUACGCAAUUUCAAAUUAUUUUAUAAUUGGGCUUUAUCAUUGACGCAUAUACCCAUGCAUGAUUAAACCGAGAGGGUGGUCCACGUCACCACGUGAAAAAAAAUAAAGGGUACUUUUGGAAUAUAAAAAAGUUUGUAUGAUUUUAAGGAUUGUGUUUGGAAAAAGCAUGUUUUCGUUGGUGGGGUUUAUUAUUAAUAGGGAAUGACAGAGGAUAUUAGGCUAUCAUAGUUUAAUCAUUUGAAAUAUUUUAAUUAAAUAAUUAAAUAAUAAUUAAAUAAUAAUAUUUCUUUUUAGUUACAAGAUUGAAAGCUAAUCUUUCAAAACAUAAUUACCACUCAAACUCAAUCAAAUGAUAAAAAGUUUGAUUUGAGGAUUUAUAAAAUAAUAUUUUCAGAUUGAAAAUCUAGAUGGAAGUCCCACAUCGAAGUAUUUAUUUAUAUUUAUAUUUAAUUAUAUGAUUUGAUUUAGUGAAAACUGCUAAUAAUGAUUAGGGAACAACCUAUUUUUGCUUGGCUGUAAGCAUGAGAGCGACCAAGUUGAAUAAAAAAAUUGGCAUUUGCCCUUUUUAUUUAUUUAUUUAUAUUUGUAAAUUCCAGGAUCCUUGUAAGCAUGUUUCCUAUGAGCUAGAGUUAAUGAGCUUUAAUCUGACCAUAAACGUGGUCUACUUGCAGUAUUAAAAGGAAUUAAACAAUCUUAAGCUGGCAUGAGCUUUUUUUUUCUGAUAAAAAGUACCAUAAUUUAACCUUGAUCACGAAGGCUCCUAUUGGUUGCAUUGCAUGAGGUUGGCCAAUAUAUUAUAGCAAAUUGAUCAUCCUUAGUGUUUUUCUUUUCUUUUUCUUUUUGUUGGGGUAGAAUCUUUUAAGUUGUUGUUAGGUCCAGUUGAGCUUGUUGUAGGGCCUUUAAUUGGGCUUAGUAAAGUGUUUAACAGCGCUUUUCGAAAGUGUUAAAAGCACUUUCAAAGAACUAAAAAUAAAUAAAGUGUGCGCGUUUAAAGCAAUUAUUCUUCGAGAAAAGGUUCUGAGUUAGAGUUCUAGCAUUCGUAUAGUUUGUGUGAGUUUAGUAUGUUAUCGCCCUUCUCAAUAAGAAAAGUCCUAAAAAAAAGAAAAGAAAUUGAAUAAUUGAUUUGAUCUACCAAUUUAAAUUGAAAGGAUUACUUGUAUUUAACCACAAAAGAAUAAUAAGAAGGAAAAAAAACCUUCUGUUUCAAAAAACUUUUGUUCUUUUUUAUUGUCACAAACACGUCAAGGAAAGGAAUAUGGUUGUUGAUGGGCUUGGGAAAUACAGCCAUGAAUUCAGUUUGGGUUAUCAGUAGCUAGGCCAAGGCCUAGUUGGGCCAGACACAUUUGUGAUCAGUUGGAUUUUUAGGGGCUUUAGACCCAUGCAAAAAGAAAAGGAGGCAACGCCGAUACCUAACCAGAGAAAUUGGGGUUAUUGUUAGAGGUUAAUACUCCAAAACAGUCAUCAUACAUUUAUUCGUUAUUUUAUUAUUAUUAUUAUUAAGGAGGAGUGUAUGUUGACUAUUUUAACGCGCUAAUAGCUACUCAGAUAUAUUAUCAUCACAUCUAUUCAAAUAAGGAAAAAUAGUAGAGAGAAGUGAAAUACUAAAGAGAGAGCUUACAAAACAUGACUUAUCUAUUUCAUCUUUGGUAGAACUACGUAUUACAUAAUAGGAAAUUGAGUACCAUCAUUUACAACCUAUGUAUAGAUUACAAGCACUAAUUUCCAAUUAUGUUUUUUUUUUGGUCUAAACACCUAUUACCAAUGUUUAGUUCAUAGGUUAUAGGAUUAACAACAACAAACCAUAUUUAAAUUAUAAUGGGUUAAAGACUAUGUAUUGUUCAGCACACAUUUAGGCUUUGCAUUUUCUUUUCUUUUAAUCAUGGGGAUGAGAUCGAACUCAUGACAUUUAUCAGUCCUAACAAGUUUUUCCCACCUCACUCAUCGCUUGAGUUAGCCUAGACGGCUUACAUUUACUGAGGAUUUGUUUGUAUAUCUUUUAUUUUUAUACAAGCAAUAUUGUGUGUUUGCUCUUUAAAAACUUAUAAAACCUAGGAUGAUACGGCAAUGGUAAUUAUUAAGAAAAAUUAGGUAUUAGACAUAAUUGACUUUACUAAUUAAUAUUCACUACUACAAAAAGUGAAAAAGACGACCAGAAAACAACGACGGUCUAAGUGAAAAUCGUCGUGGUUUUUAAAAAGACGACGGUUCUAAAAACACCGUCGUGUAAUACCACCUUAGACAACUAAAAAUGGAGAUUCAAAUGGCUGUUCAAAAACAACGACGUACCUAAUUAAAAAACCGAGGUCUAUUUGAAACAGAUUUCCGCAGUGUAAAAUCAAAGCCAACAAAGAACGGCAUAAGUUAUGAAUCGACCGACGUAGAAAGUAAAAACGACGAUUUCAAUAAAAGCCGCCGUUUUUACUCAUAAAAUAACACGACGAAAUUUUCGUAUAAGACGCCGUAUAAUUACAAACAAAUCGACGGCUUUAAAAUACAAAAUGUCGCCAUAUUAAAUUAAUUUACAACGACGAAAAAUAUAAAUAUAUCGACGUUAUUCUCGUAUAGUUCUACGACGUUAUCUUUAAAUCGUACUAUAAAAUUUAACGUCGUAUUUAUUAAUUUUAUACGUCGUACCUUUAAUUUAAACCGUCGUCUUAAUAAGAAUUUUUGUUAACAAUUUUUUCCUUUAUUUUCUUAUCCUACGUUGGUAGAUCUACUUAAUGACAAGAAUUGAAAUCUGUCAUCCAAAAAAGAAACUUAACAUAAUCCAGAACAUUAAUUUCCUUCAUUUUAAAUUUCCUCCGGAAAAAAAACUCUAUUUAUAACGCACUGUAAUUGAAAAAUAAACUGAAAGGUCACGGGAAAAAAAUUUCUAUUCAUAAUUUAACAAUUCAAAUCCACGUCGGUUAUAUUAAACCUAACGACGUUAAAUGAAAAGAUUCCACGUCGCAAAACAAAUAUUGCGUCGUGUUAGUUUAUGUUUCUUUAAUAGUUUCAGUUUCUUUAACAGUUUGGUCCUUUAUCUUUCUGCAGGACUUGUAUAGUUCAAAGCAUUGACUUGUAUAGUUCAGAGUAUAGUUCAAAGCACUGAUUCGAUUGCUCAUGCUUUAUCGCAUUCAUGAAGCCAUUUCUAUUCUUUAUCGCAUUCUUGAAACCCAUCUUCUUCUUCUGAAGCUCUACGGAUAAAGGAAGAGGCUAUCACAAAUCUGACGGAUCUUCUUAGCCAAGAAAAUCAAGCAGAGGAUCAGGCACAUCUGAUCUUCAGAUUUCCCUGAGAAGCGAACUUUCCUUCGACAGCGAGUGGAGGCCAGGCUUGCAUCUCUUUUGAUGGAAAGCAAAGAGUAUUCAGAAGCACUAAAUGUCCUAUCAGGCUUGAUCAAGGAAGUGAGAAGGCUAGUUGACAAGCUUCUUCUUGUGGACAUAGAUUUGAUGCGAGUAAGCUCAAUUUCUCUUUGAGAAAGACAUCCAAAUUACUGUCUUUGAGAUGUGAGAGACAGUGUCUCUGAGAGAGGAAGAACUUGGAACCCUAAAUGUAAACCGAAAAUGAAUGAAAGCGACAAAUUUAUAGAAUAAAUUUUUAAAACCAACGGCGGUCCUUACAAAAAAACCGCCGUUUAAAUUUUAAAAUCAACGUCGUUAUGACCGACGUAUAUUACAUAAAUCCACGUCGGUACAUUAAUAAAACUGACGUGUUAAAUGAUCUACCAUGACGCGAGUUAUUACUUAUGUACUUUAAUUUUUGAGUUUACUACGACGGUACCUACAACACUACUGUCGUACUUAUUUACCACGUCCGAAGUUAAACGUACUGUCGUAUUUUGUAAUUUAUACGUCAUAGUUAUAUGUAACCGCCGUAUUAUUUUUUGAAAUGGCUUUAUAUGUAAGCAACUUUUCGUGUACCUGUCUUACACAUGCACUGUUUCCAAACCCGAUUAAAAAUUUCAAUCUCCCAGAGAAAACUUUUAGACUUUUUUCCUUGUCAGAGCACUUUCAGAGUAUCUCAUCGUCUUCCUCUCGUCUUCUUCGUCGUCUCUGAACUUAAACAUCGAUCGUCUUCCUCUUGCUUUCAUUGCACGCAAAAGGUAAGCUUUCAUUUUCACUAUUUUGGUUGCUGUUUUGCAUGCUCAUACGUUUUUUGUUUGAAAAAUCUUUUUAUCUUUUUUCUGGCCAAAAUCAUUUUACUUCUUUCCAAGUUCGAAAAAAUAUACAGACAAAGAGGGAAAGUUUCCAACUUUGAAGACAACUACCUCAACUAAAUAAGACGACGGUAGCUUCUUAUUUACGUGGUUAAAUAUGUAGACCACCACGGUUCGUCAGUCGUUCUAGUGUCGUCUGAAAAUUGACAAAGUUGUUUUUAAAAUUAUAGUCUUUUUUUUAUUUGCUUGUUUAAUUGCAGGUUUGAUUUCUCUGAACAAUGGUUUUUGUUUUUCCCUAAUUUGAUAAAAUAUAAAGAAAAAGAAAUUAGGGUUGGUAUCUAAUAUAGACGACAGUAUCUUAUUGUUUUACGUCGUGUGAAUGUUAAUAUCACGACGUCAUAUUAAAAUACCGUCGUCUAUAUAAGAUUCCAAAACUUUCUUUCUUGGCCUUGUAUUUUAUCAAAUUAGAAAACAAAAACCAUGGUUCAGAAAAAUCAAAUCUGCAAUCAAACAUUCACAGAGAAAGAAAGAAGGGUUUUGGAUCCUUAUAUAGACGACGGUAUAUUACUACUGACGUCGUGUGAACAUCAAUACCACGACGUUAUAUAAAUAUUCCGUCGUUUAUAGUUAAUUAUUACGUCGUUUGUAGUUAAUUAUUUCGUCGUUGUUUAAUUACCUUGGUUUUAAACAUUUAUUACGUCUGAUAUUAUUUCAUUGCGUCGUUUAAAAUCAUAUCAUACGUCGUCUUUUAUUAAUAACCGUCAUUUGUGUUCUUAAUCUUUUCUUGAAAUAUUUUCACUUUCAGUUUUGUCUGUAAAAAUGGUUUCUCACCAAGACCAAAGUAAGGAUUCUGGCUCCAACAAAAAUGGAGGUAAGGAGCAAGUACCUCCUCAAGAGAAGUCUUCGAAGAUAAUGAAGUCUUCGAAGAAGAUGAAGUUUGCUUCAUCAUCUGCUGAUACAGAACCAACCAGCGCGACAACAAUCUCUGAUGAUUCAAAGGCUGGUCGAGGUAUGAGCACAAUGCCUCGUGUUGUGAAGAGAAAACUUCAGAAACUGAGGCCAAUUGUUGAGUACAAUAAAAGGGGGAAAGGAAUUGGCCAAGCACACAGUGAGAUGCAGUCCUAUAUUGGUGUGUUGGCACGCUCCAGAGUCCCACUUGUGGACUUGAAAUGGGCUCAAAUCCCCAAGGAUAUAAAGGAGCAGAUUUGGGAAGCAGUUGACAUUGCUUUUGUAGUAGGUCAAGGGGGCAAGAACUCUGUCUUAGCUUCUGCUGCCAAGAAAUGGAAGGAUUUCAAGUCUACACUAACGAGGCAUUAUAUCCUUCCAUACACCAAUGACAGGGAGAGAUUAAGCCAACCCCCUGAAACAUAUAAAUUCAUAGAGAAAGCACAAUGAGAUGCCUUUGUAGCUUCAAGGCUAUCCAAAGAUUUUGAGUCUGUGCAUUCUCAACAUGCACAGAUUAGGGAGAAACUCGAGUACAAUCAUCGAUUGUCUCGAAAAGGAUAUGCUGGUUUGGAGGAUCAAUUAGAGGAAACCAUGCCUGGGGUAGAAAUUGAUCGAUCUACCUUAUGGAAGAGAGCUAGACAGGACAAACAUGGUAACAUCCCUGAUCCAAAGGUGGCAGAGAAAGCAAAAUUAAUUGUAAGCCUACUCACUCUGUUUUAAAUUUUUAUUAAACUGUGAAUAAUUCUUAUUACGUCUUAUGUUAUAUUUUGCGUCGUGUGAAUGAUAUUACCACGUCGACAUUUUUUAAAACACGUCGUUAAAGGUCUAAAUAGGAAUCACAACUCUGUUUUCUGUAAUUAUAGCAUAAGAUGUCGGUGGUUCAAUUUCGCGUCGUCUGUAUUAAAUUACUACGUCGAAAUGUUUUGAACAACGUCGUUAAAGGUGUGAAUAUUGAAUCAUCCCUCUGUUACAUAAGACGUCGGUGGUUUAUUAAUUUUGUCGUUUUAAAAAACUAACCACGUCGGUAUAACUACCGUCGUGAUAAAUUAUAAUAACGUCGAUUUAUAUGUUAUUGCGUCGUGUGAAAUUAUAUAAUACGUCGUUUGUAUAUAAAUAACCGUCGUGUGUUUUUGUUCUUACUUUUUUAUAUAUCUUUGUUUCAGGAUGAUUUGCAAAAACAAGUCUCGGAAGGCAAAGUCAUCGUCUCUGGCAGCAAUGAUGUGCUGACCAUGGCUUUGGGCCCCGAGCAUCCAGGCAGAGUCAGAGGAGUAGGUGCUGGGAUCUCACCAAAGCAAUAUUUCAAUUUACCCAAACCACAGAGAGUGAGCUUUGACGACCGUUUGAAGGACAGUUUAAGAGUUCUCCUUCAAGAAGAGACUAGAAAGAUGGAGGCUAAGGCAAGGGAAGAGGCUUUAAGGAUGGAGGCUAGAACGAAACAAUUGGUAGAGGCUGAGAGGGAGCAUUUCCUGAGUCAGCUUUCCCAAUUAAUUCCCAAUUUUGAUCCAAGCAUGCUUAAACCCAGAAUUAGCCAAAGUCCCAAAAAUCCAAUGUCUGACAAAGCAAGCUGCUCUGGAGGUGAUGUGAGAUCCCAGCAUUUUGAGGAUGAUACUGCCAAAAAUGGGAAACAUCAGGAAGAAAAGGUAACAUAUAUGAACUUUGAAUUGUCUGUUUUUUUAAAAACCAUUAGACGUCGUUAUUAUUAAUAAAACCGUCGUUUGAAAUACAUACCACGACGAUUUUAAAAAUAAACCGUCGUUUGUAUUUCAAUACCACGUCGUAUUUAGUUUACUUGUUUUACACGCCAUUAAACGUCGUUAUUUUUAAAACUUUGUGGUUUUUAGACGACGGAGUUAAUCAUUCCCGACGUCAUAGAUGAAGAGAAUAAAGAAGAAAAACAAGAUGAAAAGCAGAAAGAAGAUGACGACCAGGUAUGUUCACAUAACUUUGCCUUUUUUAUUUGUUUUUCAAAAUUCCAGACGUCGAUAUUUUUCUUUAAACCGUCGUUUGUUUACAACUUAGACGGCGGAAUUGUUUUCUAAGACGUAAUAAAUAAUUCACCACGAUGGUUGUUUCACCGUCGUUUAAGUUAUUUUCAGACGACGUUUUAUUCCUUAAACCGUCGUUUUUAUUGAAUUACCACGUCAUUUUUUUUAUUUCUUUAAACAGGUUACUAAAGUUGUUGAUUAUUCAAAUAUGGAGGCGCCAUCUUCUUUACAAACCCUUUGUCGUUAUGUGGAAACGACACUCGUGCCUCAGGAUAAGACCCUGCACUUUACAAUUGAUAAGGAGGUCUUUGGUCUAGAGCGCGAUACCUUCCUCCUGCCUGAAGAUAUUACACAAUUUGCAGGCAUGGAGGAAAUAGGAGCUACAGUCAUUGCUGUAUAUAUGAGGUUUGUCAUUCUAAAAUAAUACGUCGUUGGUUUAUUUAUUGCGUCGUCUUAACUAUCUAACCACGUCGUUAGUAUGUACCGUCGUGAUAAAUUUAUUAUAACGUCGUUGUCUAUUUCAGUACGUCGUGUGAAACCUUAUAAUACGUCGUUUUGUUAUACAUAACCGUCGUGUGUUUUUUUUGCGCUGACUUGUUUAUAUUAUUUUAUAUAUUUAGGUACUUACACGAUGUUUUAAAAAAAGCAAAUAUGUGCACAAUGGUUGGCUUUAUCGACCCUGCUACAGUUAGUGCCAGCUCUGGCACAAUAGCUGACAGAUCACGACUGGUAGCAUCACGACUUCAGAAGACUGACGGUGAACAGAUUUUCCUGAUGCCUUACAAUCCAGGGUUAGUCUCCUUAACAGGAUUUUGUUUUUAUGAUUUUCAAUAAAUGACAGCGUAUAAACUAACCACGUCGGUGUUUUAUUUUAUUGAGUCGUUUGAAACGACUAACCACGUCGGUAGUUAUUUAUCGUCGUGAUAAAUAUAUAAUGUCGUCGAUUGCUACUUUAUUUCGUCGUGUGAAAUAUUAUAAUACGUCGUUUUUGUAAAUAACCGUCGUUUUUAUAUUAAUUUUGUGCAGCCGUCAUUGGAUCUUGCUGAUUGUAAGAGCAAAGAGGGAAACAGUCUAUUUUCUGGAUCCUCUGCCAGGAUAUCGUGUGGUCGAUGAAGAGGCCAAAAACAUCGUGAAUAGUGCCAUAAAAAUUUAUAAUUCCCACAUAGCCAGAUCAGGCCGUAAGGCAGUCAUUUGGAAAACUCUGUCAGGCACACCAAAGCAACCCAGCAAUGUCGAAUGCGGGUAUUACGUGAUGCGCUUCAUGAAGGACAUCAUCAUGGAUCCUUCCUUGGGGUUUGAGAAGAAGGUAAGAAGAAAUAACCUUCAAACAUUUUACAUCGUUUUUUAUAUUAUCAACGACGGUCAUGUAAAAUUACCGUCGUUGAAUAGAUAUACUACGUCGGUUAUGGUCGUCUGUGAUUGAAUUUCCUUUUAUUUAUAAACCCUAAUAGUCAUUGUUUUUAUGCAGUAUGCGAAGGGAAAACAGGAAGAGCCAUACCCCCAAGAAGCAAUUGAUGAAGUCCGGAAUGAAUGGACAGAGUUUGUUUGCCUUCAACUUAAAUAGGGGAAUUAUUGAACACUUGAUAUUUAUGUAUAAUGUACAAAUUUUGUCUAUAAUAUAUAAUGUAAAAAUUUGUUGAGGUUUUCUUAAAGUAAAAACAAAAACAAACAUACAAAAUGCGUUACCGACGUGUAAUAAUUUUCCAACGACGUAAUAAAGUCAAAAGCCGUCGUUUUUUGUGGUUUCGUUUUAAACAAAUACGACGUAAAAGGAUAUUUAGACGACAUUCUUUGAACAAUGGAGUCGUUUAUGGUUUACAACGUCUUCAAUUUCUUAAGGGUUCAGGGUAGUACUUUGUAACGACAGCGGUUAAGUCGAGGAAUAUAUAUUUUACGUCGGAUAGUUAAAUAUCCGCCAUCGUUUCUCAUUUAAACGACGUCAUUUUAACAACUUAGUCGUCUCUUACAAUUUACAACGUCUACAAUUUAUUAACACCGACGUGGUUUGUUGUUGUGAUAAGAAUAUUUUAUUAUUUUUAUAUCAAAAUAUUCAAAAUAAAUUUAAAAUAAAUCAGAAAAAUGCAAAGUCAACUCCUAUGAAGUCAUUGAUAUAUUUUCUUCCCCCUAAAGCUUGAAAAAAUUCAUUUUGAAUAACAAAAAUUUAAAAUGAACAUCCAAAACAAAAUUGUUUUGAUGAGUCAUAAAAUCACUUCUAGUUUUAUGGUUUAGGGUUUAGAGUCUAGGGUUUAGAGAUUAGGGUUGUUAUUUAUUGGGGUUUAUUUUUAAAGUAUAAUUUUUGGGUAGUCUAGGGUAUAUAUUAGGCUGUAAAACCAUAAACCCUUUUAUAAACUUAAUUUUUAAAAUUAUAUAAUUUAGUUUUAAGGGUUUAGGGUAUUAAUUGUUAACGACGGUGGUUGAGUCGUGGAAUACAUAUGUUACGUCGUCCAGUAAAUUAUCCGACAUGGUUUCUGCGUUAAACGACGUCAUUUUAAUAUGUAAGUCGUGUAUUAUUAUUUACAACGUUUUCAAUUUCUUAACCCCGACGUGGUUUUUCAGUCGUCUUUAUAUCAAAAUAUUGAAAAUAAAUUUAAAAUUAAUCCGAAAAUGAAGCGUCAAAAUAAACGGCGUUACGUUCAGUGUUUUCGUCGUGGAAUAUUACAUUUACGUCGGUUCUUGUAGAACUUUCGCCAUGGUUUUUCUUUCGACGUUUUAAAGAGCGCGCGCUCUAAAAAUUUUCGCGCGUCCUAAAUUUUUUUAUAUUUGGCUCUUAUUCUUAUUCUUCUAACCCUGAACCCUAAAAUUUUCAGAUUUCGUGCAACAUAACAUUUCGCUCUCUCACUUCUGCUCUAAUUAAAAGUUGCUCUAAUUAAAAGUUGCUCUAAUUAAAAGUUGCUCUGUCACUUCUGCUCCGUCGAAUCUGUGAGCUCGUCCAACCUGUAAGUACAAACCCUAUCUUCCCCUUGUAAAUUCAUUGAAUGAUAUUAGGUUGUUUUGUUAAAGAGUUUUAGGUAUAUGCUUUGCGAUCUGUUAAUAAUGUGCUUAUAAGUAUGGGUUCAUGGAUUUUCUGUUUAAUGGGUUCAUGGAUUACAUUAUCUGUUAUGUUGAAUUGGGAAUGGAUUUAAUUUUGUCGGAUCUUUUAAUCACCCUAUGUUAUGUUGAAUUUGGAAUGGAUUUAUUGUUUUCAUGCUUGGUUUCAUGUAUAUGUUGUUUUCUUGCUUGGUUUCAUAUAUAUGUUGUGUUCUUAAUGGGUUUUGGGUUCUUGAAAAUAAACUGAGACACGACGCCUUUUUAGGCAUACGACGACGAUUACACGACGGUUUAUGAAAAAACCGUCGUUGUAUUAAUUAUACACGACGGUGUUUUCAUAAACCGUCGUUUGUAUUACUUAUAUUAGACGACGUCUGUUGAAAAUCCGUCGUCUAUAUAUGCCAAAUACGUCUGUUUUUGUUUAAAACCCGUCGUCUCUGUUGUGUAUUACUUGCUAUUAGAUAUUUGUAUAAUCUGCUAUAGUGAUGGUCAUUGCCUGUAUUUUCACUUUAUUAUAGAUAAUAGGUUAUAGUGUCGGAGAUGGAUAAGUCAUGGAUGCACUCGGAUAGAAGAUCGAAGGCAUAUGAGUUUGGGGUGGAAGCAUUUUUGAACUUUGCUGUAGAAAAUCUUCUAACUACAACACAUAUCCGUUGUCCAUGUGUUAAAUGUGUUAAUUUGAAGUUGUUUGGGGUUGGAAUUAUAAGGGAUCACUUAUACUUUAAUGGAAUUGACCAAAGCUAUAAGAAUUGGACAUUUCACGGAGAACCUUGGGAAGCAACUACUAAUGCUAGUAGAAAUGUUGAAGAAGAUGAUGGCCAUAGUAGGUACAGUUUUGUGUCUGAAGAAAUUGAUAUGGAUGAUAAUGAUUUUGGUUCCGAUCCGUAUGAGUUUGCCAAUAUGAUUGGGGAUGGAGAUCAACCAGUGUACCCUGGUUGUAGAAAGUACACGAAGUUAUCGGCAUUAGUGAAGUUGUAUAAUUUGAAGGCAAAACAUGGGAUGAGUGAUGUCUGUUUUACAGAAUUAUUGAUACUUCAAGGCGAUUUGCUUCCAGAAGGAAAUACAAUACUUCAAGGCGAUUUGCUUCCAGAAGGAAAUACAAUACCAACCUCUAUGUAUGAGGCUAAAAAGACUUUGUGUGCAUUGGGGCUGAGUUAUGAGAAAAUGCACGCAUGCCCCAAUGAUUGCAUCUUGUAUAGGAAGGAGUAUGACAAUUCAACUAAUUGUCCUACUUGUGGUAUCUCAAGGUGGAAGGAAGGCAAAGAUUCAAUCUUGAAAGAGGGUGUGCCAGCGAAGGUGGUGUGGUAUUUUCCUCCAAUUCCAAGGUUUAAAAGGAUGUUUCAAUCACAUGAGACAGCUAAGAGUUUGACUUGGCAUGCUGCUAGAAAAUCAAUUGACGGUUAGAUGUCUCAUCCGGCGGAUUCCCCGUCUUGGAAACUUCUUGAUGAUAAAUGGCCUGAGUUUGGUAAUGAGCCGAGAAACUUGAGAUUGGCUCUUUCAUCUGAUGGAUUCAAUCCCCACAGUUCUCUAAGUAGCAGAUAUAGUUGUUGGCCGGUUAUCUUAGUUACAUAUAAUCUCCCUCCAUGGUUGUGCAUGAAACGAAAGUUCAUGAUGUUAACCUUAUUGAUUUCCGGUCCUAAACAACCCGGAAAUGAUAUAGACGUCUACUUGGAGCCUUUGAUUGAUGAUUUAAAAUCUUUGUGGGAUGGGAUUAGAGGAGUGUAUGAUGCACAUAAUGGAGAAUACUUUACACUCAGAGCUGCAUUAAUGUGGACAAUUAAUGAUUUUUCCGCCUAUGGAAACUUAUCUGGUUGUGUUGUUAAAGGAUAUAAAGCUUGUCCAAUAUGCGACGAUGAUACACCUAGUCACAGGUUGAAAAAUGGCCACAAAAUUUGUUACAUUGGGCAUAGAAAAUGGUUACCAAUCAAUCAUCCAUAUAGGAGGCAACGUGCAGCUUUUAAUGGGAAACCUGAAUAUGGUAUACCUCCCGAGCCAUUAACCGGAGAAGAAGUGCUGCAUAUGGUUGAAAAUGGUGACAGAGUUUGUUGGAAGAAGAAAUCAAUAUUCUUUGAUCUCGAGUAUUGGAAAUACCUUCCUGUGAGGCAUGCCCUAGAUGUUAUGCACAUUGAGAAGAAUGUUUGCGAUAGUAUUAUUGGUACAUUGCUGGAGAUCCCUGGAAAAAAUAAAGAUGGGAUUGCUGCUCGAUUAGAUUUAUUGAACAUGGGGGUCAAAACUGAUUUGCAACCCGAGUAUGGAGAAAGACGUACUCGUUUGCCUCCUGGGCCUUGGAAUUUGUCAAGAGCAGAGAAGAGAGAGGUUUGCAAUUCUUUCUAUGGUAUGAAGGUCCCUGAAGGUUAUUCUUCAAAUAUUAAAAAUCUUGUAUCUUUACAAGAUUCAAGACUUCUUGGCCUUAAAUCACAUGAUUGUCAUACCUUAAUGCAACAAUUGCUCCCUGUGGCAAUUCGUUCUGUUUUGGAGAAGCCUGCAAGGUAUGCAAUAACUCGUUUGUGCUUCUUCUUCAAUGCUAUAUGUGCAAAGACUGUUGAUGUUUCCAAGCUAGAUAAGUUGGAAGAAGAUGUAGUAGUUACUCUGUGUUUGCUUGAGAAGUACUUUCCCCCUUCAUUCUUUGAUAUCAUGGUUCAUCUAGUAGUACAUCUUAUCAGAGAAGUUCGUCUAUGUGGGCCAGUAUAUUUUAGGUGGAUGUAUCCGUUUGAAAGAUAUAUGAAAGUGCUGAAGGGGUAUGUUCAGAAUCGUACUCGUCCCGAAGGUUGCAUUGCUGAGCGGUAUAUAGCUGAAGAAGCGGUAGAGUGUUGUACUCAGCAUUUAUCUGAUGUUAGUACAGUUGGAGUGCCUUCAAGCCAAAAGAUGGGACUUUCAAAGCCAUUAUCAGGUUGCACAGUGAGCGUAGUUGAUCAGGACCUGUUGAAUCAAGCACAUCUAUAUGUCUUGGAGAAUACGGAGGAAGUCCUACCUUAUAUCGAGUACGUAUGAGCUUUAUUCUUUAAGUUUCCAUUUUAAAUUAUUUCUUAUGUUUAUCUUCUAUAUUUAGGACCGUAAUGCUUGAAUUUUUCGUGUCAUGUAGGCAACAUAUGAUUCACAUCAAGACUGCUUAUCCAAAAUUUAGAAAGAGAACAAAGUGGCUGCAGGAUAAGCACAAUAGCACUUUCAUUCAAUGGCUACGCUUUAAGGUAUAUAUUGUUGAAUAACAUAUUUCUCUUUUAAUUUUCUUCUUAUUUAUAUGUUAGAUUGAAUUAAGAUAUGAUUAAUUUGCAGGUUCAAAGUGAACUUGAGGAAGACAAUCAUGACGUAUCAGAAAAUUUAAGGUGGCUAGCAGCUGGUCCAAACAUGUCAGUGCCAUUAUAUAGGAGCUAUCUUAUUAAAGGUAUUAAAUUCAAUAUCAAGGCACAAGAUGAUGUGCGGACAACUCAAAAUAGUGGAGUUUAUUUACUUGCACAUACCAUGCAAGUUGCUAGUGCCAAGGAUAAAAACCCAAUUCUCUCAAAUAUGGGUUUCUAUGGUGUCAUUCAAGAAAUUUGGGACCUUGACUACCAAAAGUUUACAAUCCCAGUCUUUAGGUGUGAUUGGAUAGAUAGUUCUGGUCUUGUAGUCGACGAACUUGGAUUUACCCUUGUAGAUUUGAGUAAAAUUGGACAUAGGAAUGACCAAUUUGUUUUGGCUUCUCAAGUCAAACAAAUAUUUUUUGUUGACGACCCGAUGCAUCGUGGUUGGUCGGUAGUGUUAUCAAUGCCUAAUAGAGAAUAUAAUGAUGUUAUUGGUGAUGAAGUCUUAGGUGAUGUGAUAAUUGAGUGUGAGCCAUUUACUAGAGGGAUGCCAAAUGUUGACACAUUUGAUGAACUGGUAGGUGAGUUAGGCGGUCAAAAUAUUCGAGAUGGGUGUGAAGAUAUAUGGAUUGAAUGAUGCUUAUGUAAUUGGCAGUGUAUGACAUUAAUUUUGUAAUAUAUUGUAAUGCGAUUUCUUCACUUUCUACGUUCAAAUAAAACACGACGUUAUUGUGAAUCAGUUAUUCAGCAUAUUUACCGACGUCUUAAAGCAACGUAACAAUGAAGAACCAUGACGCUAUUGUGAAGCAAUUAUUCAGGAUAUCACGUCGGUGAAGGAUUAAGAACCACCAUGUAAUUCAGAAUAACACGACUCCAAUCCCAUAAUACCGAUGUCUAAAAAACGAGAUAUAUAAUCUGAACGUUAAAAAAUACGACGUCAUCAUACAUUUUCCACGUCGUAAGUUCUUUUAUAAACGAAGAGGAACGAAAUGAAUUCCGACGGAAGUUCAUUAUAACCGCCGUUUAAUAACAAUUAAACGACGUUAUUUGUAAUACGGCUCUCAUCAUAAUCUACGCCGUCUAUAUGUUCUGUUAUACGGCUCUCAUUUAUUUGGAACCGACGUUGUUUAGAAGUUCAACGUCGUCUAUAUUAUUAAGUGCGUCGUGAGUAAUGAAUACAUAUAAAUACAACGUCGACUAUAUAAAUGUAUACGUCGUAAAUAAUGACACUGACAACUAUUUCCACGUCAUCUUUUUUAGAAAAAUCGAAGUGGAAAAUUUAUUUCACGACGGUUUUUUGUAAAUAAGAGACGUAGUAGAUUUCAAUAACGUCGUCUUCUCAUGUAUUUAAAGACGUCAUAUUUUUUCUUGUCGGGUAAAUUAUAUUUAACGGCGUAGUAUUUUAGUUGUCGUCGUUGUAUGUAUAUCUUGCGGCCUUGUUCUUUUAAUAUGUGUCAUAUUUUUCCUUUUUAACGACGGUGAUUUUUUUGAGUUGGUCGUCUAUUCUCAUCAUCGACUAUUUUCUAGAACUUUAGCAGACUAAACACGUCUGUUUUUAUUUUUUUCCGACGUUGUUUUAUUUAACAACGUCUAAUAUUUAUCGUCGUUGUUUGUUUCUGAAAAUAGGACGUAUAAAUUUUGUAAUACGACUCUCAUAUAUUUGUUACCGACGUUGUUUAGUGUUUCAACGUCUACUCUAUUAACAUAUACGUCGUAAAUAAUGACACUGACAACUAUUUCCACGUCAUCUUUUAUCAAAAAAUCGAAGUGGAAAAUUAAUUUUACGACGGUUGUUUUUAUAUAUGCGACGUAGUAGGUAUCAAUAACGUUGUCUUCUAAUGUAUUUAAAGACGUCAUAUUUUUUAUUGUCGUGAAAAUUAUAUUUAACGUCGUCGUAUUUGUAUUUUCGUCGUUGUAUGUCUAUCUUGCGGCCUUGUUCUGUGUCAUAUUUUUCCUUUUUAACGACGGUUUUUUUAGAGAGUUGGUCGUCUAUUAUCAUCCUCGAUUGCUUUUUUUAGAUCUUUUUGCAGUACAAAGACGUCGUUUUGUAUUUGUUGAUGACGUUGUAUAUUUUAACAACGACGGUUAUUAUGCGUCGUGGUUUAUGAGGGAAAAGAUGACGGUGGAUUCCACGACCAUUGAAAAACCCAAUACACGACGGUGAUUUACCGUCGUCUUUUUGCUUUUUUGUAGUAGUGAUUUGAGACAUUGGGCAUUUUUGUUUGGGUUUUAAUAUUUAGAAAAGAAUUGUUAUUUUGGAUUAGGCCAAAGAGAAGGCCCAGAUUCGUUGGGCCUGUCUAAAUUAUAAAGGUAAAAUACAAUUUUACCAUUUUGUUCUAAAAUCAGAUUUCAACACCUCUCUCUCUCUCCUCUUCCUUGUUCACUCCAGCGAUGACGACUCCCUCUUCUCUCCAUUGACGAUACGACGCCCUCUCUUUUUCCUCUUCCUUCUUUGCUCAAUCAACGACGACGACACCCGCUCUCUCUCCUAUUCCUUAUUUGCUCCAUCAACAACGACACCCUCUCUUUCAUCUUCCUUCUUUUCACGCAAAGCUCUGUUUUUCAUCUAGUGAGGUAUGUAUUUUAUAGAUCAGAUUCUUAUUGCAAUUUUGUAGAUCUGUUAGGCCAACCUAUAUGGAUCUAACAAUAGAUCCGUUAUUUCAAUUUUCUAGAUCAAAUUCUUCUCAAGCGAAGUUUAUGUGUCUAUUGAUUUAUUAAGACUAUAUGGAUCUAACAAUUCGUUAGGCCAGCCUUGUCAUUGGUGUGGGGUGAAAUGAUUUGGCUUUAUUUCACAUUUAUAAAUAAGUUUUGAACUCUGCUUGAUUGCCUGAAUGGAAGGUUUGGACAUACAUCUUUAAUUCUUGAUAAUUUUUCAUUUUCAUUAGUCUAACGUUCUAAUAUUGGUCUCGUAGAACUUUUGAGAUUGAAGAGAUUGCGAAUUGUAACAAUGUAGUUGGUAGGAAUUAAGCUAUUUUUUUAGGUGAAAAACUAUUGUUCCAUGUUCUGAAUUUUCCUCUUAGAAAAGAAUUAGUCUAAUUACAUAGAAUACUCUUUAAAGAUCCCAAUUACAUCACUGUAUGAAAAUUCCUCCUUGAGAGUGCCCUCUACACUUGUGUAACGAAAAUAUUGAACUAAUACUAAAUUAUUAGUUACAACAUUAGGCAUUAUUCUUUGCUCCAUCAAGCUGCUUAUUUGAUUUGUCAUGCAAUGCUAUUUGAUUUCUUUGGUUGCUGACUUUGCUUUGUAUAUGACAUGUUAGGUUGGCUCCUAUCAUUCAUCUUCGUUAUUGGUGGCUUCUAGACCUCCAACCCCUGGUGUUCUUAGUCGAGGGAUUGGUCUAGAAGGUCUUUCUAGUGUCUUGGCCGGUCUAUGGAGUACUAGAACAGGCUCCAUAAGUUUAACUGAAAAUGUGCACACACUAGCUGCCACUAAGAUGGGAAGCUGUAGAGCUGUUGAAUUGGGCGCAUGCGUUUUGAUUGUCUUAUCCCUUGUCGGUAAGUGUUUGUUAAGCUUGUGUUUUCAAUUGCAACAAUGAGUCAGUAACAACAUAAAUAUGGUAUCUUCUAUCAUUUUUAGUACAUGCUUUGAUCAUUUUGUUAUAGCAUGCUAUUCUAGUAUUGAUACAAGUAUUUGUACGAUUACUAUUUCGACAUUAGUUUCUUUUAUGGUUGGGCAUACUAGCAUUUUAGUUUGAAUAUCUAAAAUGGCAAGUUUAUCCAUUUGGUUCUGGUUAUUUGAAGAUUGCAAUUGCUCAGAUUAUUUCUUUGUGGCUUGGGUAAUAUAUCCUCCGCAAUCUUCGUUAUUCAAUUUUUGGGAUUACCAUUUGCUUAUUCUCCAGUUAUUUGGCCUUCACUGGUUCUUGUGAAAUUUAAUUGUUUACAUAUGUUGUUUCUCUACUGCUAAAAAAUAUGCAUAAGGUUUGCCUAUUCAUUUUAAGAAGAGUUGGAGGCAUAUGAUGGUUGGGGAUUGUGAUUUCCAUGAAAUACUACUCUCCGAGCAUUUUUUGAUGAACUAUUUCUCUUGUUUUUUUGUUUUAUUUUUCUUCCUGAAGUAUACAAUAAUGCACAUGGGGUGGGAAAAGAAUGAGGACCCUCAGUGGUUAGUUUUGCUCUUCCCUUGGCCUUCAACCUCACCAACUGCAGUGCAAUUUUUUUUAUAGGAAAUUGCAGUGCAGUUUCUUGUUCCAUAUUUUGAUUUGAAAAUAGUUUUUCCAAGUUUAUGGGAAUGCUACAAUUGCUCAUCGACUUAAAUAUGUUUUAAACUUAGUUUUAGUACUUUGAUCAUGACUUUGCCUUUUGGUUUCUUUUCACAUUUGAGCAUAUUUUUUUUUUUCAUAAACUGCACUGCAGUUUCUGUUGUAGUUUUUGAUCAGAAACUGCAGUGCAGUUUCCUGUUCCAUAUUUCGAUUUUGCAAGUCUAUGAGAAUGUUACAACUACUCAUCGACUUAAAUGUGUUUUGAACUUAGUUUUAUUGAUCAUGGCUUUAACUUUUGGUUUCUCUGCAAAUUUGAGCAUAUGUUUUGUCAUAAAAUGCACAGCAGUUUUCGUUUGUUGCAAUUUUUGAUAAGAAACUGCAUUGCAGUUUCCUGUUCCAUAUUUCGAUUUUAAAUAAUUUUUUCAAGUCUAUGUGAAUGUUACAAUUACUUAUCUACUUGUAUGUGUUUUGAACUUAGUUUUAGUACUUUGAUCAUGGCUUUGCCUUUUGGUUGCUUUUCACAUUUGAGCUUUUUAUUUAUUUAUAUAAACUGAACUGCAAUUUCCGUUAGUUGUAGUUUUUGAUAAGAAACUGCAUUGCAAUUUCCUGUUCCAUAUUUCGAUUUUAGAAUAAUUUUUUCAAGUCUAUGGGAAUGCUACAACUGUUCAUCGACUUAAAUAUGUUUUAAACUUAAUUUUAGUACUUUGAUCAUGACUUUGCCUUUUGUUUUCUUUGCAAAGUUGAGCAGACGUUUUGUCAUAAACUGCACUGCAGUUUCCGUUUGUUGCAGUUUUUUUUAUCAGAAAUUGCAGUGCAGUUUCCUGUUCCAAUUCUGUUUGUUGCAUCCUGUUCUAAGAUUAUAUAACAAUCAACAAUUUUUGUUUUUUUAGUUGUUUUUGUUUUUUAUAACAUAAUUGAUAUCAACAUUGUAUUUUGUUGCAGUUUCUGUUUUUAUUUGCAGUUUUUGUGUGAAUAAGUGUUGAAAUGAUUUUUUUUUAUUUUUAAUUUUUUAAAACUGUUGAUUGUUAUAUAAAUAUUGUAUAACUGAAUAAAUAUUGCAAAAUCAAGUUUGGUGUAGUGGUUUGUGAGUCAUCCUUCCUCCUUUAAGGAUUAAGAUUCGAGCCCUUCAAUGACAUAAAAUCUUUUUUUUCAAAGGUGAAUAAAGGGCAAUGGAGUUAGUCCUCUACAUGCGGUGGUGGCCGGCGACGAUGACAGGCGGUGAUGGCAGGCGGACGAUGCCCUGCAGUAAUGGCUAAAUAUGGACAUGUGGCAUAGUAUGCUUGCCUUAGAAGGAGUGGCAUUGUGUGUAAUUUUGAUAUUUUUUAGUGAUAUUUUUGUAAAAUUAGGUACUAAAUUUGGCCUUUGGUAUUAUGCUAAUUAGAUGAAAUUGUAUUCCUAUCUUCCAAAUUAAUAAACUACAUUAUGUUUUAAAACUAAAACUCCCUAAUUAUUAUUCAUUUUUGGUAUACAACAUUUGCAAGUGUUCAUGUGAAUUAUAGUGACCCUUAUAGUGUUGGGCUUCUUCAACACAAAUACGUACAGAUUGGUUUUAAGUCCAGCUCUUCCCUGGCCCAAAAUCCACACAUUCACCUAUUGAAUUUAGUCCUUCAAAGUCAAGGCCCAGAUGGAACUGGAGCAGCUUGCCAUGGUUGACUAGAUGUUUGGUUGAUGGAAUGGAGUCAUUCCUAUGACCUCGUUCGGUGGCAUGGCCUUAAACUAGAUUGAAAUAAAGUUGGAUUGUUGUUGAAUUUAAUUAGUUUAGUCCAAAUAUUUUAUAAGUUCAUCAAAGUAUAGUUCAAUUUAAUAGAAAUGAUCGAGGAACCAAACGAAUUCAACCAAACCAAAUAAUAGAAUUAUUCCUAUUCCUUCCUUCAUUCUGAUUACCAUUUAACUCCAUCCCAAAUAUCAAACAUCACCUAAGUUCAACAUCACCUAACCCAAGCCCCAAUUAGAGCUGCAUGAUUAGGCCCUAAGUAUUAUUAUUACGAAAAUGUUAUAAUGAGGUGUUAUAGGUGAGGGGGUUGUGGAAGGUGUUUAGGACAUGUGAAAAUUUAAGUUUUAAGAUAUUAUUCAAUCAUUCAUUCGAGUCAAAAGAGCAAAAUGUCAAGGGCCUUGUCGAAUUUGCCAUUUUGACAGGCAGGGGAAAUCAAUUGCUUGUAGGCCCCGUUUUAUUUAUGGGAAAGUAGGCUUGGAGAUGAGAAAUCAAUUGUUUUUCCAUGUUUGGUAAGUCCAGGCACAUGGGAAAUGGUUGCCUAGUAUAUGGGAAAGUAGGAGGAAAAGUGAAGCCUUCCUCUUAGCUUGGGUUUUGUUUUCCCUCCUCAUGGCAAAGUAAGGUCAUCAUUAAAUGUACAUUUUUUUAUGACCAAUUUUAUCCUUAGUAAUAAUUUUUAAUUACAAUUUUAUCCAACUAUUGGUAUUUUUUUAUAUAUUCAUAUUUCUUAAAAUCAUCUUAGCAUCGUUCUAUUUCUCAUAACUCUUAUUUACACAGGGAAGGCAACACUUCAAUCUUACAUAAGUUUUUACGUUCUCAUCCUCAGAGCAACUUCAAAUAAGGUGGGUAUUAUAUUUCUAUUCAUCACCCAAUAUGUAUAGACAACUUUGGAAUGUUAAUGAUGCUGUACUUUUUUUUUUUUUGGAUCUUAUAAUUCAAGGUUUAUACCUUAAAGUGAUUUCUCAAGUGACUGAUCUUAAGUAAUUACAAGAUUAUGUGUAAGAUGUGAAUUGUGUGAUGUGCUUACAAGCUGUGUGAUGAUCAUGUAUUUGUCAUAUUGAUUUGCUAAAGCUCAUUCUAGUUUUUUUUUUUUUUUUUUUUUUUUUGGGCCUUUUCAGUUAUUGCACCCUUACCACCUUCUUUUCAUCUAUCUCUACUUCCAGUAUACUUUUUGCUUGAUAGAACAGACAUGAACUAAUCCAACACCAAUGCCAGAAACUGAAAUUUUGCAUAUUCCUACUAUCAAUAGGACGUUGGUGUAAUGUUUAAUAAUUCAAUUGGAAAGUUUAAUAAAAUGAACAGAUUUUUCAUAUUUUUAACAAGGGUACAAUUGGGAAAACCAAACAAACUUCGUUUUCCAUUCCUACUCAAAACAAAUGUAAUAAAGGAAAUAAAGUGAUAUUUCCCGGUUACUUUCCCAGCAUUACCAAACAUGAGAAAUGAAUCAUCGUUUCUCAUCCUUUGAGAAAUGACAUAAGAAAUGACUUGAGAAAUGAUUUCCCAUCAAAUUCGUUCCGUGAACCAAACGGGCCGUAAUGUUUGAAUUGACUAAGCAUUUGGCUCUCCUCCUCCAUCCAGACCAGACCAGAGUGACAUUGAUGUACUGAUUUGCUUCUUAUACUAAUGAACUUAUUUGACUUUCAAGACCCCAAAAAAGAAUAAAAGUCUUUCCUUAAUAGCCAUCAGCAAGCAUCUCUUAACACUUGUUUUUUGAGAAAAUUGGUGCCAGGGGCCCAUCCUUAACACAAAUUUUAUAUCCACCCAGAUGUUUUAUCUCUAAAUUUUAAUGCUCUUUGACUCCAAAAUAGAACAUAUCGUUCUUAAGUUCUUUGCUUUCUUUUAGUCUUGGUUUUAAAUCAAAGUGCUAAUCAUUAAGUUUUGCGCAUUUGGUGCACAUGAUAUGUUGCUAAAGAUUAAACAGUACUCACAUGACCUAAGUGCUAAUUACAUGGGUUAGGAUUAGAAUAGAUGCAUGGCUCGAUUCCUUCUAACGUAAUCCAAAAAACCAAAGAUGCAACAAGCACAUCAGUUGAUAACAUAACAUUCAUAACACUCAACACAUCUGGUCUUUAAAAAAGACAUAAACUACGAACAGAGAAUUUCUGUAUAUGAAUAAUCUUGCUUUUCCAGUAGUGAUCUAAAUAGAUCCAUAUGAUACAUAUUGUGAAAAUGAGAAUCUUUUGUGUCCUUAUUCUUUCCUUCUUUAUAACCACACCGCACCUAGUUGUGGGCAUCAAUCCGGCCAAACCGAUGAAACCGACCGACCCAUACCCCAUCUUCCUCGUGCUCAUGAAUCCCUUUUGUCCCUUUCAAGACAUUUCAGCCACAGCCAUUGAUAAGUUUCCUUUUUCAUCUAUUGGGCCUAAAUAAGUUGCCAUGAGUGAGUCUAUUCUCUUCCCAUUUAAACUCGGACGAAGCAGAGUGUGGAUGGCCCUACUGACCUAACAAUUAAGGCAUCUAAAAUAAAUGGCUUGACAAAAUAGCAACCAGGAAUUUAAUGUUGUUUAUGGACUUCACCAUCACUAGGAACAGAAGAAACUGAAGCCAUCUGCUGCCACGUGUCCAAAAUUCAAAAUACCAAAAGGAUUCCUUCUUUUGUUUUCUUUUUUUGGGGGUAAUGUCCUGAAUGAGCUUUAGAUUCGAAACAAGUCUGCUUCUAAUCACAAGUUUACUCAUGAAUAUACCAAAAAAAAAAAAGUCAGAACUCAGCACCAAUUGGCCCUGCAAUCUUCAAAUGGCCUCAAGAUUGGAUCAAAACCAGAUAGGAUUAUUAAGGUGACAAAAAAAAUGCAGACUCUAAAUUGCAGCAUCAGUUUAGUUUAGUUUCUGAUAUCAACAAAAAAUGACUUCAGUGAACCAUUGCUAUUUAAUUUCGAUCCCCAAAUUAGAAAAAGAAGAAAACAGGUUAUCCAAGAUUGUGGGAGUUUCAAGAACUUUUGUCGUCCUUGUAGAACAAAUCAUGUUGUUCCAGUACAGAGUUCUAGCCAACAACUCAAACAUUACGCAGCACAAUGCUUAAGAUUGCAUAAUAUUGCUACCUGUUUACCUUUUCCAUUUCCCUUGAUCAUAUUACCUUCUAAAUGAAGGCAAGCUUAGCUGCCACAGAAAUAUAAACAUUUUCUUCAGCUAUUGAAACAAUCCACAAACACCCAGGAGGCUUCGGCCAUAAAGAAAAUCAGCAAAGGAAAACAUUUGAUUCUGAAGGUUUGAUGAAUUGUUAUGAUCUGAAACCUCUCACACUCAGACAAGUUUUUGUACCAAUUUCUUGAUACUUCAAGAAGCAGCUAGGCUGACUUCCAUCCUGAUUGUAAAGCAGAAAAUACAUGUCAAAUGCUGAACGUAUACUAAUAUAAGAAAUAUUAAUACCAAGCCCUCACUAAUCAGAUCAUUAUGAUCAGUAGAAUGGUAUAUAAAAUGUCCGGGAGCAACACACCUGCUUAAUCAAUGAUGGAAAAUGAAAGAUUACCAUUAUGAGUGCCUUUACCAUACUCUUUGUGACAAAAGGACCUUUAACAAUGAUUUGAAAACAGCAUGACAAAACAUACAAAGAACAUAAAAGAACUUGGACUUUAACCACCAACCCGACUUUGAUUAUAAAGAAACAGAAUCUAAAAUGUCUUUAGAACUGAAAAGAACAAGGCAUAAACGAAAGGCUACAGAAAACUUCUGUUUCAUAACAGUAUCCAGUUGAGGAUAGAAUUAUUUUGUUGAACAAAAGAGCCAAAAGCCUAUUUAAACACCAAUUUCAUGUGCAACCGAUCAGGUUCCCUUCACAUAAAACCAAAUACAAAGGGAAUUUGGAGGACAAAAGAUGGGGAAAGAAAAUAGAACAAAGGGUAUCGAAAGACUUUCAGCCCUUUGCCGGUCUCCUUUAACUUGUUAGCAUUGUGAUACAAUUAAAGGUCCGCAGGUCUUAGGUUGGAUGACUGGCACCCAUUGGAUCAGCUUAUUGUCAUUACCAGGCACCAAAAAAAAAAAACAAAGAAAAAGAAAAAGAAAGACUUUCAACCCUUUGACUAUUCUGACCUAGUAACAGCCAGCCAGCCAGCAAGACAGAAAACGGUAUGGCCAAGAAUUUAAAGACUUUUCAUUUUGCUCAUGGUGUCAAUUUUAAUAGGAGACUAAACAGAGUGACAGAAAUUUUGAACACCAGAAAUUACCAUUAGACUAACUGAUAUCUUCAGAAAAAGAAUAGAUCAGAGAGACUGAUACCUAUAGGAAGCAACCACACCUGAUGAGCAUUAACUAAUUAAUCUGACGUGGAGAUACUAAAAGAGACCCUAAUCAUGAAGCACAACAAUUUAAAUUCAUACCAUUGAAGAGGAACCACAAGAAUCUAACUUCCUAAUACAAGCGCAAAACCUAUAUGCAUGCAUAAUAGGUACAUCUAUAAAUUCCCACAUGCCUAAAUAUUAGAUAUCAAAUCAUUACAUGACUAAACCGUAAAUGCAAACCUAUAUGUGUAACCUAUUUGCUAAUCUGUAUGCAAAACUAGAAAUAACUUCAAGCAUCAGGGUGAAACAUGAAAAGAAAGUUAAAAGAUGAAACAUGCAGAUGCAAGGUAACACUUCACAUUCAACCUCAUAAGGUUUGUCGGCUCAACAGAACUGAGGAGGUCUUCCAGAACAAGGAAGCAUGCAGUCAAUAAACCCUGUACCGAAAUAGGGUUUGCAAUCUGCCCCCGCCCCCCGCCCCCACACCACCCACCCACACCCAAACAACACCCCCACCCCCCAAUAAUGAUGUAGGGAAGUCUGUCAAACGUUGUAAAUAAUCAGAAUUAUUUAUAGAAAAUGAAAGAAAACAAAAUGAAUCUCCCAAAGGCCUAACAGGCUAAUACCAUUAACAAGGUCUGAAAUUGACUCUAUAUCAUGUACAUAUAUAUAUAUAUACAUAUAUAUAAACUCCAUCUUUACAUAUUGGAACUACAUCAAUGUAAAGCAACUAGAUCGACCCUGCAUCCUGCCCCCAAUGAGCAAUACAAAAUGACCGAGAAAAAAAAAACUACAACUAAAAAAAGGGAAAUUAGAUAAAUUUUCUCCUUUUUUUCCUCUUAUAUAUUUUUGUUUUGCCUUCUAUAGGGUAAUUCCAAUUCUUCUUUUGUAAAAAUUCAGGGCAUAAUACCUCAGAAUUGAGAGUUCCAAGCCGCAGGGGCAGCUGCCUUUUCCAUUGACGAACUUUCAACAAAGUCACAAUCUUCUGGGCACAAUACAAAUCUACCUCUGCAACAAAGACCCAAUUACAAUUAGCAAGAGAAAUCUAAAAAAAAGUAACCGAAUAAAAAACUUAGAAUUUGUAGAAACAGAGAGAAAGAGAGACCUUAGAAGGAGAAUCAGCAACCUUGUAAGCAUCCGCAGUAACACCCACCAACCACAACCCAGGAAAAGUAAUCUGCAAAUUCAUUCAAGCCACAUAUAAAUGAUAAAAAAUAAUAAUUAAAAAAAAAACUUGCUAAACUCAACAACAAAACAAGCACAGCAGAAGCAGCAAACGAAGAAACGAAGAAACAAAGAAAGGGAAGGAGCAAGGUGGACGUACAUCGAGCUGUUUCUGAACAUUCUUCGGCCGCUUCUUGGGCCUUCUGGCAGGCCUCGACCCAGUCAUCACAAAUAUGUCCUCUUCAAUCUCCUCCUUUGACAAAGCGAUCCAGAACUUCCUGUUCUCUUUCUUCUCCACAUUCUGCCCCUCCGCCGCCAAACCCCUCAACCUCAUCGACUUCGGCUGCUGCAGCUCGCUCUGGUUCGGGUUCGGACUCUCCAGUUCGUGCGGUUCACCGUUGGCACCUCCCUUGGAAAACGACGUCGUCGCCGGAGCUCUCCUGGGCCUCAGAUUCCAGGGCUUGUGAACUACCUCGGCUUUGUCAGCUUCCUCGCCCUCCUCCUGAUCGCUCUCUCUCUCCUCGCUCCUGCGACGCUUGUCGCCAGCGCACGGGAUCAAGGAGUAGCGGUGGCGGGAGGCGCGGGAGGAUCCGACCCGGCUGUUGUUGUAGUGGGUGCGUUCGGAUUCGGAGUCGGGCUCGGAGGCGGGUUCGGCGGAGACGGGUCGGCGGUAGCGGUGGUUGUUGUUGGUGGUCGAGUUGUUCUUCGCCCCCCAUUUCAAGAAUGCGAGAGGGAAGUUGUGCAGCGGUGGCUUCACUGGCGCCGUCGCCAUUACUGAUCAACUCACAGAGCUCAAAGCCUUCAAAGUUCAAACCCAAAGCCUAUGCAUACACAUCAAACCAUAUAUGUAUAUAAAUAUAUAUAAUAUAUGUAUAUCAAUUUUGUAUGCUUGUGCUUCAAGCUUUUAGAGAGAGAAAGUGAACAAGAAGCGAGAGAGAGAGGGGUUGUGUGUGAUGUGAGGGGAGGAAGUGGCAGGGAGACGGAGGCCUUUUUAUGGUUUUAUAUGUAUACAGUAGGAAAAGAGGAGAAGCAGGACUUGUUUUUCCCUACCUCUACGUCUACGGCGUUACGGUUGUGAAUUUACUGUUUUAACCUUGGCCUUUUUUUCUUUGUUUCCGUUUGUGGGACCAUUUAAAAUCUGCUGUUCCGUAUUGUACUAUUUUGACCUCUUGGGUACAAUACCGGAUGAGCAUGAUGGGUCUCUAUAGUGGGCUCCACUGAAUGCUGUAAUCGGACGGUGGACGCGCGUAGUUGAAGAAGAUGAUGUACAGUAUUUCUGGUGUCGCUGGGUUUUCGGUGAGGUAUUUUCCUCAUGUCUUUUGGUUUUGGGAAAAAAGAAAAAGAAAAAAAAGAGAGGCAAUGAUGGUUAGAUUUUAAAUGGGCAAAUACGUAGAAGUUCAUAUCCAAAAUAAUUUUUUUUUUUAAAAAAAAAAAACCUAUUGACACUUAUGUUUUGAUCAAGAAGAUACUAUUAUCCAAAGCAUAGAAUAUGCAAAAUAUGUAGGUUUAGAGAGGUGUGAAACGAAUGGUACGAGCAUGAAAAUUAAUGAGUCGGAUUUGACACAGCACGAAAAUUUGGGUCGUGCCGUGAUGAGAAAAUUAGGUCUAAUGGACUGAGUCAACCCACAACCCAACAUAGGCCAUGCUUGGCUCGAGUCCGCUUCAAGCCUGGCACGAAUCUGGCAUGGCCCAUAUAACUUGUCCAACCCACUUAUGUCUCUUUUUAACGACUUGGAAAGCACACGAGCUCACUGAUAUCAAACCUGCUCAUCUUCUUGUUGAUAAAAACAACAACGCAGAGGAAGGCAUCUCUUUUCCAUUUCCUCUAGAAUCUCGUUUUGUAGAUUAGUGGUUUCUCAAUAAAUUUGAGAAAGGUUAGAUUAUGGAAGCGGAGUUAUGGGGCUUAUUCUUUGGAUUGCAGCUCGUUGUGAGUACCAUAAUUUCAAAUAUUUUGAUUGAAUUGGACUCUGCAUUGGUUGUGAACUUUAUUAAGAAUCCUGAGACAGCUGGUGCUCAUCCUCAUGUUGGUCUGUUCUAUGGCUAUUGGGAUUUAAUGAAGAAGAUAAGUACUAGUGUUAUUCAUCAUGUGUAUAGAUGAAGAAAUUAUGUGGCUGAGAGGCUUGCGAAUGGCAGCUAUAAUAUGAACUUAGGCCUAUAGUGGUUUGACUCCGCCCCUCCGUGAGUAGUAGAGGCCUUGGCAGAUGAUUUGUUAGGGAUCUCCAGACUUUGUUUUGUUCGUUUGGGGUAGUUUCUCUUUGGCGUUCUUCCCCUGUGUUUCAUAAAUAAAACAAAGGAAAAAGAAGAAAAAUAGGGAGCAGCCCCAUAUUUCUUUUACAAGCCAAGCCAGUCAAGCAAAACCACACCGUACAAAAGAUGAAUUCUUCAAGGAAGCAACGCACCCAACUUUCUUAUGCUUUCUCAGCCCCCGUCUCUCCUUCAAUAUAUCAUGCAUCAAUACAAGCAUUUGUGAAUUAAUUCACACAGAAUAUAUACAUACUAUAUAUAUAUAUAUAUUUAUUUAUAAAAUAAAUUCACGUCAAGUAAAAGCAUGCUGUGCCAAAGGAAAAUAAAUUAUUUUAUCUACAACCCAAACAUAUUAGUCAAAGCAAAAUAUAUGUUCUAAUGAAUAAUGCCAACCAAACUCAGUGGUGUUAUUGUUAAUUCAAGCAAAUUGACGGUAGAAUUGUAAAUUUAAGCAAAAUCGAUGGCAAAAUUUUAAAUCCAGGCGAAAUCAAUGGCGUAAUCGUAAAUCCAAGCAAAAGUGGUGGCAAAAUUGGAAAUGUAAGCAAAAGUGAUGGCUGAAACGUAAAUUCAAUCAGAAUAAGUCACAUAAUCAUAAACUCAAAGAGCAUGGGGUGAUUCUUGGCGAUACGAGGCUAUUUUUGCAAAAAUGCCAAAAAUAAUCUAGAUUGUGAAAUUUGGAAAAUUAAAAUCAUCAACAAUGAUGUAGAAGCAAAGAAGUUAUGUUAUCAUGCCAAACAUUAUUGCAACAUAUGGGAUAUCCCAAACAAGCAUAAAACGUUACGACGAUUACUUGAGGGCUUUAUGAGUAAAUAAAAUACGACAAGGGAGCAGAAAGUUAUGCAUAAUUACCAAACCCAUACAAGCAACAUACUAACUAAUACCAAGCACACAAGUCAAUGCAACUCGUACAAAAUCACUACCAUGCCAAAUCAAGCCUCUCUAGUCACUCAAGCAAAUCAAUUAGGCAAGCUUAGCUAUUUUGGGCUAAAUAACAAAUUUAACCAAGCAUUAUCUUUUCUGUCAUGCCACAAAAUAAGCCAACAAUUGGUAACUCCAGUGAGUAACCUUCGAUAUUACAGUGUCUAGGAAAGUCUUUUAAGGCGACACCUUCAGUGUCUAAGAAGGAUUGAGUUUUAAACGGGACCAUUGCGACCCCUCCAACCUUCCCAGAAAGACUUGGCUGUAAUUUCAGAGACCUUAAUUGAUCAUCCUUGAAUUGCUUAUUGUUACAUUUAAAUAUAUAUGACCAAGCUCACUGAUCAAGCAAAUCAAAACAAUGCCAAGGCGAAAAGGAACGUACAAGCCAAUUACAACAUGUAGAGUAGAUUUACUAGCCCAAUUCACAUGCUAAGAAAAUUGCAACAUGUCGAGAAAGCAAUCCAAACAAUCAUAAACUAUCAAAAUUAUUAAAGUUGAAGCCAUUUGGACAUAUUCGUAAACCCAUGCCAAACCAUGUCAUGCAAUAUCAAGUUCCCGCAAUUACUAGUUUCUUGCAAACAAACAAUCAUAACAUGCAAAAUCCAACAGUGUAAGCAACAAAGCAAGUAACUCAAGAAAAACAUGCACCAAGCAAUUAAGUUUUGUUUCAACCGUAAUCAAGCAAGCAUGGACACUUGAUGCAUAUUGAAAGUUGCUGAAAGAUCAUUAUAAAGAUGUCAACACUGGAAAGAGCUAGUCAUGCCACUGCCACAUCUUUUGGGCUAAAAAUUGAUUAUUCGAACAAUUUCAAUGCUUUUUCAUGGCCCCAAUAAUCAAGGGAGCCAAUGUUAAGGCUAAAAAUGUCACGAUAAGUCCAAUGAUAUUUAUAUCCCAAUAUAACAUACAAUAGUUGCCACAUGCUAAUCCAAACUAUAUUUUGGGAAUUAAUUCAUUAAAUAAAUAUAGAAAUAAUGUACAUAUCAUGCAAAGAAAAUAAUACAUUUAUGUAUGCUAAACCACCCGACAAACUUAAACGGGCCCAAGCCACCUACAUGUCUGGGGCUUGCUAAGCAGGUUGUGAUGUGGAUGGGUACAAGGAUCUAUGAGGCCCAUUAAAGGUUCAAAAGAAUGGAGGUUUUGGGCUACUUGGGAGCACCAAAACCCAAGCCCAUUUUUAUUAAGCCCGUUGAAUGGGUAAGUAGAGAGAACACGUCUUCCUCCAGUACUUAUUACCUAGCUAAUCUUCCAACCUUUCAGCACUUAAAACUAACUAUCAAUGCCAGUAUUAAAGUCACUAAUCCAACUCUUAAUCAUCCAUUAUUAAAAGCCACAUAUCAAUGAUGUCACUUCUCCAACGCCUAUAAAAGGAGGCGUUAACUAGGAAUACCACAAAACUAGGCAGAGGCAAGCUCACCCAUUAGCUGCUAGAAACACUCAAAACCAAGCCUUAACCUUUCCAUGCUCCUUUUCUGUCAGAAUACUACUUUAAGCUUUAAACAUCAUCCAAAUCACAACUGCAUCAACAAGAGCAAGCCCAUAUUCUAGCUGUUAUGAAGUACUAAACUCAAGCAUUAACCAUUCCAUAUAUACCUUUCCAAAAUCACCAUUCAAUCAUUCCACAAUACACUGCAAUAAUUAUCCAUUUCUCAAGCAAACCAUUCAAAACAACUGCUGGAAGAAGAAUAAAGUAUUCCCUAGGACUUGCUUCUCAUUCGGGAUACUUUGAGCCUAGUUCUUUCUUACUCAGAAACGGGAAUUGAAGGUUGUAUUCACCUCUUUUCAACUAUUCAGUCAAGUUAAGCAUUCUAAAAAAAAAAGGCCUCCACAAGAGUGAUUCAUAUGCAUCAUUGGUUAGAAAUCUAUAGUCAUGCACCGACACACGACUAACCACAUCAUUUAUUUAUUAAUUACAAGAUAUUGUGAAUCAUUACAUGUUAAUCACAUUGACUUCACAUAAAAAAAAUUUAUAUACUACAUAUUGGUAAUAUACUACAUAUAUGUAAUAUACCACACAUAUAUACACAUACAAAGGUGAUCUAAUAAAGUCAAUCUUCUAUAAUUAUUUAGUUAAUUAUUCUUGAAAUUUUAAUUUUCAUCUCUCUUAUAAAUAAAGCUAGUAAAGUAAAUAAUAGUAUACUAAUAACUAUUUGGCCUUGUAGCAUUUAGUUCUCGCUUUGUUAGAUUAAAAUCUUAUGAAUGAGAGUUUACUUUGUUAGCCAUGAGAAUGCCAAAUUAUAAUGGGAAAUGUAGAGAGACUACAUUUAUAGACCACUUUACCAUCUCCCUACUAAAGGUGAGACACAUUGUAUUGGUGGGCUCUACCUCUAUUAAAGAGGUGGUUCUUAUAGAAGAUGGUUAUAAAUAUGGUCUUCCUAGAAUGACUCAUUUAUAAUUUGAUAACGUAAGUAUCAAACUUUGUUACAGUGAGUUCCUACCAAAAAAAAAAAAAACAGUUGACAAUAAGUUUUAAGGGAUAUCAAUUUGUCUUUUUGUUUUUGUUUUUUGAGUUGAUUGAUAUUCUAUUCUAAGGGGAGGGGGAAAUCUAUUCUAAAGGGACACCCACAAGGGGAUUUGAACUGGUGCCAUGGGGUUUGCAAACAAAGACCUCAACCACUGAGGUAAACACCCAUGUACUCAAUUUGUCAGUUUGCUACCUUCAAAUUCAAGUAAAAUUGACUACUCGUCGAAAUAAUACUUAUAUUAUUACCAUUAUUGUUCACGUGACAAUUUGAUAUAUCGAGUGCAUAUGUUAUUUCAUGUUUGGUAGGUGGGACUGGAUUGGAUUAUUUCAAAUAAAAUGGACAAGAGUCAUGUUGUUGUCUAAUGAGCUCAUACUGGGCCUAUUAAAGUGGACAACAAACAACAAUCGGUGGAACUCAUAAGGAUUUGCUUGGAGGCAACUCCAAUGCAAUCCAACCCGGAUCACCAAACGAUAAUGAACAGGAAAAAGUUAAUACUAUUCUCUAGGGCUGUGGGCCGUAACAAGGUUGGGUCCAACUUAUAAUGUUGAGGUUGGGCCUACUUUCCCAACCAACUUGCUCUUCACAGCCUUCGACGGUUGUGUUCCAACCCUAAAAUCCCAAUGUUGAACUCUUUCCCGAAAACCGUCUAUCUCUUUAUUGUCUAUCUCUAUGAAGCUUUUGUGAAAGCUCCAAUGGCUCAUUUCACUAAACCCUAAAGCUCACCCACUCUCCCUCACUUCAAUUCAUAAUUUCUAGUGUUUCGUGUGGAAAAACCUCUCAAUGCCCCCAUCAACGGCGCUCUCGGCCUUUCACCGUUCCCAUUGUCUCUUGGUAUUGCAACAACACCAUGGUCACCACGGGUAAUCAAAAGACUUCAUCUUCACCGGCUGCUCUUGGCCAUAUACUGUCUCGAUCCGUGCUCCCACGCUUCAUCGCUACCCAAUCUUCAGUCACUGCGAUCGCUGAAUUCUCUUCCAUGCCCUUCUCCUCACGACGCUCUUGUUUCAUUGGUGCCUCACUUGUUCAUUACCGUCCUCCGCUCACGCACUUUGUUUCUUUGGCAAAUUCCACUCGGUAUUUUAAUAUUGUUUGUCAUCAUCCGCUGCUUAUUGGAGAAGAUUUCGAUCUUUCCAGUUUUGGGUCCAUCUUCGUUGAUUUUCUCACUCGUCAUCGUCUCCUACACUAUAUAUGCUUAUUUGUAACUUCUUGAAUCUCACUUCCCAGCAUGGAAAAGUGAGUUGGAAGGCUGCCUAUCUUCUCUUCCAGCUUAUGAUUGAUCACUCCGUUAGUGUAGAGUUCUACAUCCAUGACAGCAUCACCAUCAUUGGUGCCAUCAAUGCUUCCAUUAGUGUAGAGUUCUCACCGCUCUUGCUGCUCAUAUUGGUGUUCUUGUGCUUCUUACAGAUGACUUCCUACGGAUGACAUUGGCUCUUCCGAUUCUAUCAAAGUAAACAAUCAUAUCACUCUCCAUCGCAGCGAUGCUCAUUGUACCUCUGGUGGUCUCUCUAUUGAACAACAAGCACUUUUGGACUCAUUCUCUGCUUCCCAUUAAGUGAUGCAUGUGCUUCUUCGCCGCAUCUAAAUCGUCUUGAUACUUAUAGUGAUCUACUGCUAACUCUUGCUGGUCAUAUCCAAUCGUCUGAUCCUCUUUCUCGUCCCUUUCAGGCUCGCAGUCUCUAAGGUCCCUCUAUUUGUUUUUGGCUUAUUCUUAUGUUCUAAUUUUGUUGACUUCUCUGUGUUCCUUUGGCUUUCCUAAACAAAAAAAAGGGAGAACACUUAUGUUACAUAUGUUAGUUAGGGGAAGUAACUUGUCUUUUGGUAGUUAGAAGCAUGUUAUUUAGGGGGAGAAUUUUUUAUAUUUUAUUUUAUGAUAUCAUAACUUGUAAUGUAUUGCUAACCACUUAUCAUAUGAAGAAUUGUUGUUUAAUUGUGCCAAGUUCUGUUUGUUGAUUUUCAAUUCUAUUUGCUUCAUUGGUGGCUUAUUUGUUGGUGUGAGGAAGUUAUAAGAACUGGAUGUUUGUUGGGCUGUUGAGCAUAGUGAAUUAGGUUGUUUAGUUUUUCCUUGUAAAUGUGUUUGCAAUGUAAUCUAAUGUUUUGUCUAGGAAAUGCUAAAUGGGGAUAUUGUUAGUAUGAAAAUUGUAUUGGCAUUUCCUAGACUCUAGCAUAGGUUGGGAAUUAGUGUGUGAAUAUCUUUUACUGGAAGUUUUGGCGCAGCACAUUCAAACCCGAAUUUUCGAAGUAUGACUUGAUUGAUAUGAGGAAAUUGAUUUCAGGUAAAUCAUGACGUGAUUAUGCAUUCAUGAUAGGAUUCUUAGUUGGAGUCAUUUUCACUCAAGUGCUUAUGUGUUCGUCUUAUUUUUAAUAGUUAGAUUUUAUCUUUUGAGAUUACUUUCAUAGUUGGACCUUAUUUUGAUUCUCAUUAAAACUUUACUUUACCUCUUAUGACUUGGAGGGCACGUUGCUAUAUUAAAGUCAUCUCCUACCUAAUUGGUCUCAUUGAUUUAUCUUGGUUGAUAUUAUUUCCUUCUAUAAUAGUUAAUUUUAGUGAGAGACAUUCUUUCUCAGAUUGUGCAAAAGAUGAUGUUUUUGAUUAUGAUCCUAAAAGAAUCAAAUUUGAUAUUGACGAAAAGUCACGUGCUUUCUUGCACUUAGACUUUUCAAAGUGAGAACCUUUUUCGCAUAAAAGGUUGGGUGCCUCUUUUUGGUACUCACGGCUUUCAAGAUUGGUAUGUGAGCAUCUAAAAUUCCUAAGAAAGCUACUGUGCAUAACUUUGAGACAAGUCAUCAAGUGUUCCAUAUUUACUUGGUGAUUGAUCAAAUACAUUCAUAUUGCAUAUUUGGUGACUCAUAUGGUUGUGGGUACCAAGACCGCAUGACGGUUUUUCUCCGGCUAGCUUGAAGCAAUUGUGACCAGUAUUGCAUUCAACAUAAGGAGUGUCGAAAGAUCAUCCCAUGACAAAAGUUGAGUUACGAAGAAGUUGGUAAAUAUUAUCUAGAAUGUGUGUAAGGUAAGUGUGUGAGCACUUUUUGUUGUUGAGCCUAUUCUUAACAACUAAAAUGAGUUAUUAAAAACAGCAACUUUAAUUCUCGCAAGUGCACGAACCGUUUAUAGUAUAGCUUAUGUAAAUACGAGGUCGAUCCCACGGAGAAUGGUAACUUGGUUCCAAGUUAAAUUACUUAGAAUGCUAGAAAAACAUAGAACAAAGAAAGUGACUAACUAGCUAAAGGCAAGGUCGAAUUCAACAAUGCCUCUUGCUAAUUACUCAAGGUCUAGGACAGAAUCCUAGCACCACACACGCACUCGAAAUGGGGGGUUUUGUUGUUGAAAUGAAAACAAGAAAGUGAAAUGAAAGUGCUCGAAAGUAAACACUGGCAGCAAUCAACAAAUUGUGAAACAAUGAUUGAGAGGUGUUAGAGCCUUGGAAUCUGCCACUAGUCUUCCUAUCCAAGUUAUGAAUGCAUAGAAAUUGACUCAAGCUUCAUCAACAAUAGAUUAUCGCAUACAAGCCUAUGGUAUCUAGGUGCAGGAUGCAUCAUUCUCCUAAGGCAUGUGAUUGUGCAUGGUAUCUACACAGCACGUGAUCUCUAAUAUGCAACCUAAGCAUGGUAUCUACUUAGAAUAAAGCAUACAAGAGUCAUUAAGCUCCUUGAGAAUAUGAUAAUCACACAAGUCCUAGAACAUGGUAUCUGUCCUAGUCAACCUAUGGUUGUUAACCCCUUGAAUGAUUCUUAGGCCAUUCAUGUGUUGCUUGUGAAAGGAGAGUAGAAUUGGUGAAUCUAAACCCCUUCCCAACCUGUGCUAGAUGCAUAAAAUCCUAGUUAGCUACUCCAAGAAAACAUACAUCAAGCACAUAAUAAACUGGAGAUUAACAACUUGAUAAUAAAAGCAGGGAAAUCAAUUAACUAUAAAAUCAUCCAUAACGUUGAAUAUUCAUGACUAGGGCUUCAUCCUAAGCCCUAACUAAAUGGAUUAGUUAGACAUAACUAUGAACACAGAAAAUAAGAAAUACAUAGAUAGGAUAAAGAGAGGAGAAGAACUAGAUGAUGGCAGCAAGGAAGUUCCCAGGACAGCUCCAAGCUCCCUUGACAGCUCCAAGCUCCCUUCUGUCUUUGUGGUGAAUCUGAAUGUGUGUAUGAGAGUAAUGGAUGAAGUGAAUGUGUGUGUCUGCUCUCUCUCCUUGAAUGAGUGUGCAACUCUCUAUUUAUAGAGUGCAAUUUCGUGCUCCCCUUUGGCUGGUGAAACACACCUCUCUUAGCUGCUCCCAAUUGCCUAAGCUGCCCAAUAAAUGCCAACUUUUCCAGCUGCCCAAUAAAUGCUUUGGUGGACUUUUCUUGGUUUCUUUAUGGAAAGCUUGACUUUUGUUCAUCCUUUUGGGUUCCCAUACUGAUUUGUCUCCCAUGUGUAGCCUACCAUAAUUCCUGGAAAAUGGUCCUUGAUUUGUGCAGACAAGAUCCCCAUAAUUAAGCAUGCCAUGUUUUGCUCCUUUUUGACUUCCAUAGCUGAAAUGCCUCCCUAAUUUGCUCAACAUGUCAGGUCCAAAGUCAAACAAUGAUGAAGUGAGGCACAUGGCUCAAGGGAGGUGUGGAGCACAAGGCUCACCAGCUGGCAGCUACAUAUUAAAAUCCUCCUAGAGCAUGGUUCAGUGUUUGACAGGCCAAGGACUCUAUCUGUCAUUAAUUGGGCUGAAAUUUGGAUAUGUUAUACUAGACACCCAUUGGAACAACUUCUGUGAAGCAUGUCUCCUCAUCCAAGUAGUGUAGGUUGCUGAAAUGAGGCCUGCAAGAUGACCCACGAAUUUGGACUGACAAGGAGUGUGGCCCAAAUUGGUUCUGUCAUUAAGCUCAUAUUCCUCUUGUGCCAAUCAACCCUUAACAUGCAUGAAUUGUAUCAAAUGUGAUCCCCUUGUUGUCCUAACCUACAAAACACACAAACAUAGGUAAGAGACUCAAAAUAAAGAGAAACUAAACAAAAUUACUAAGCAAAGAAGACAUGCAAAUGUGUGAAAUUAUGACCUUAUCAAAUACCCCCAAACUUAGAUUUUGCUAGUCCUCGAGCAAAACAAAAUAAAAUUACAACUUAGGAAACAGGAAAUAAGCAACUAGCCUUCCAAACAAUAUCCUCAAAGAAUCAUCAGUGUAUAUGGUUCCAAAGAAACACAACAAUCACAAUCUAAGUUCCACACAUGAUUCACGAGAAAGCAAAGCUAGCAUUGACACCCUUAAGUGUAGUGUGUGAAUGCCAAAUCCGAACAACACCUGCAACUCAAAUAAGUACAUGCGCACACACUUAGAGCAAAAUCAAGAAUUCCGAACCCCAUAAGCUCAUUAUCCAAUCUGCUCUCCACAGUAAUACCAUGCAACACCAAGGAUCAAAAGGACUUUACAAGGGUAGUAAUGAGGUUUAGGGUAGUGGUUGAAUGAAAGAAGGGAUAUGAGAUAUACAAUAUUUUGAGCACACUUAAAGCACAGGUAAGAGCAUAAGAGAGUACUUAACUUUGUAACAAGCAAGGAACACAUACAUGAGCAGAUUUUCAACAUAAUUUCAGCACCUUGAAAUGUGUUUAUUUGGCCUAAUUUUGUGGCUCUUUACCCUAGAUCACCAUGAUGUUCUCCUUAUAACACCCUAGGGCCGUGACUACAUUGGUCACACUUCAUUACCUCUUUUGAUUAGUUACCAAUACCCCCAAACUUAUUUCUUUUCAACACUUGGGUUAUGGCACCAAUUAUUCACUUUUGCUCUAUAAACCUUGCAUUCUUUAUGACUCUCUUUUGAAGAUAGCUUUAAUUGCUCAUACAAUAAGUAAGGAUAAGAAAACAGAGGCUCAUUAUGGUAGGAUUCGUUUACACAAAGAAAGGCUUAACGUAGGCUCAAAUGGGAUGACUAGGGAUGAAUACAUGUAGAGGGAUGGUUAGAAAGGCUCAAACGGUUCAAACAUGGCCUAAAUCACUUCCUAAGCAUUGUAUGGCAACAAAAUGUCUCAAGAAAUAUUCAAAUAAGUUCUAGAGUAUGAAACCAAGAUCAUGAGAUAAGUAGAAUUGCAUAACGUCUCUAAGUAGCAAGACGUUGGACUAACUUGGCAAAGUGCUCUUAAGUGCAAGGAUGGCAUGCAAGACAGAGUUAACUCAGAACCACACAAAGUCCUUAAACAAUGACUAUCAAUUUCUGAGAAACCAUAUUAGUAUUAGAUCCAAGUCUUUAUCAUAGGUGUUUGGAAGGAUAACGAAACAACACACAAAAUCCUGCGUUUUUAGACAGUAGACACACUCAAAAAUUUUAAAAUUUGACAAUUUGAAACAACAUAACUAAAUCCUUCCCCCCAAACUUAAAUGAAACAUUGUCCUCAAUGUUUAGAGUGUAAGAAAAAGCAAUGCCUCAUAAAUGAAAGGAAAGAAGACAAGGGAAAGACAUAACCAAAGGUUAGAUUUCAGAAAAACUCCCCUUUGAAGCGAUUAGGACGCAAGCAGGCUUCCUCGCACGUUCUAUCUUCUCCUCGUCACCUUAGGUUGCCUCCCAAGAAGCGCUAAGUUUCACGUCUUCAGCCGGAUGUCCAAACUUUCUAUAGUGAAUGGGGGGGUUUGGGCUCAAUCGACACCUCAUGCAAUGCAAGACAGUUCACCAAGCUUGUUCUCCUUUUCCAUUGCUUCCUUGCUACUUUUCUUUUCCUUUUCUGUUUAUGAAUGGAAUCACAAUGAAUUGUAGGAAUGAUUGGAAUAUUCACAUCUCCAAGUUUGGGCAGCCCCUUCUUGUGUGUGGGAAUUGGAGCAUUGAACAUGUGGGCUGCCCUCUGCUCCUCCUUGUCUCCUCUUUUCAGCAAGCAUGAUUCUACUGAAUAAGGAAGGCCAUCAAAUCUCUCUUUCCCUGGAUUACCAAGUACUUCAAUUUGAAAACAAUCUUGUACAACAUUUGGCUUCAGGGCAUCAAACACUUUGAAGGCAACAGUUUCUCCAUUAACGAUCAUGGUGAGAGUGCCUUGCUCUACAUCAAUCUUGGUCUUAGCAGUAGCCAUGAAGGGUCGGCCAAAGAUAAGGGGCAAUUCAUUGUCAGGAAUUGGUGCUUCUUCCAUCUCCAAGACUAAGAAAUCAGCUGGCAAGAUUAAACCUUCUACGUUCACCAAAACGUCUUCUAGAAUGCCCUUGGGAUACCGAAUAGUUCUAUCUGCCAAUUGAAUGCUCACAGUUGUGGCUUGCAACUCACCAAGGUUAAGUUUCUCAUAAACAUGAUAUGGCAUAAGGUUAAUGGAUGCACCGAGAUCAAGCAAAGCUUUUGGAAUCUUGAAAUCACCAACAAUGCAAGGUAUAGAAAACGAACCUGGAUCCUUUAGCUUUGGAGGUAGCUUUCUUUGUAAAACUGCACUUACCUCUUCACUCAAUGCAACUUGUUCAUGCUCUUUGAAUCUCCUCUUGUUAGUGCAUAGAUCCUUCAAAAAUUUUGCAUACUUUGGAAUCUGAGUAAUGGCAUUGAGCAAUGGGAUGUUGAUUUGCACCUUCUUGAAUGUUUCCAUUAUCUCAUCCAAGCCUUGAUCUUUCUUUGACUUUGAUAACCUGCUGGGAAAGGGUGCAAUAGGCCUAAAAGCAUUAGUUGAAAUUGGAACUUGAUUAGCAUUAGAUGAUACCUUAGGGCCUGUGCUCUUUCCAGAAGGAUUGAGGGACUGUUUGUUGGAAACUGUGGGCUGCCCAUGUGGUGGCUGAAUGAUCUCCACGUUUUCUCCAUCUUCUUGCUCUUCAUUGGCAUCUCCAACCUUAUUAUCAACUUGUUUACCACUUCUCAAGAUGUGCACUACUUUAACUUGCUCAUGAUGCCUUGGAUUCACCUCUGUUUGGCUCGAAAAAGUUCCGGAUGCUCUAUGGCUCAAGGAGGAUGCAAUCUGCCCAACUUGCACUUCUAGUUUAUUCACUGCAUUUUGAAGAUUCUGAUUGGUUUGCAUCUGUUGCCCCAUGAACUUCUUGAACAUGUCUUGCAAUUCUCCCAUUUGAUCACCCCUUUGCUCUUGCACUUGUUGGGGAGCUUGCUGGAAUUGCCUUUGUUGUGUUUGGAAUCCUGGGAGAGGUCCUUGAGAUUGUUGCACAUUCGAAUUAUUGCUCCACCUGAAAUUAGGAUGAUUUCUCCACCCCGGAUUGUACAUGUUUGAGUAAGGAUCAUUAUUAGGAUUCCUUGCUUGAAGGGCAUUUGCUUGUUCUAGCAUCUGUUCUGCAAAAGAUUGGUCUUGAACUUCCACUUUGUUUCCUCGAGGGCCAGUCACUGCCUGUUGGAGCAAAGAACACAUAACAUCAAGUUUUGUAGCAAUCUCAUUAUUAGUACUUACCUCAGAGACCACAGCUUUCAUAGGAGCUCCUCUUCCUUUAUUGUGGCUCCAUUGUUGAGAGUUAGCACUCAAGGAUUCAAAGAGAGUAAAAGCCUCAUCUGCUGUUUUGUUCAUCAGUCCUUCUCCACUUGUUGCAUCUACCAUCAUCCUUUCGGAAUCAAGCAAACCUUCAUAGAAGGAUUGCAUUUGCAUCCAACUCUCUAUGUUGUGGUGUGGGCAAGAACUUAUCAUCUCCUUGUACCUCUCCCAACAUUCAUGAAACGCUUCUCCUUCCUUUUGUGUGAAACCAAGAAUUUCCUUUCUAAUCUUGUUAGUCUUUUGAGCCGGAAAAAAUUUCUGCAAAAACUUAUUAGAAAGCUCUUCCCAAGUAUGAAUUGAAGCAUUAGGCAAAGAGUAUAACCAAGACUUAGCUUUAUCUUUUAAACUGAAUGGAAAUAGCCUCAUCUUAAUCUGCUCAUCAUCAAGGUUUUGAAUUUUGAUCGUAGCACAUAUUUCAAAGAAUUGCUUAAUAUGCAUGUAAGGAUCCUCAGUGGUAUUACCAUAAUAAGUUGGAAGAAGAUGAAUCAUACCACUUUUAAGCUCAAACCUGUCAACUGUGAGUUGAGGAUAGACGAUGCAUGAAGGUUGAUCGGUGACUUUGGGAAUGGAAAACUCACGUAGGGGUUUUCUUGGUUGGACAACAAGCACACCACCUCCUUCAUCAUUGUUGUUGUUCGGAAUCUCUGCCAUGUUGCUUGAACCUUCAGAUUCGUAACUUUUAGAUUUAACGCUUGAAGAACUAUAAUUCCUCCUCAAACCAGCACGCACAGCAGCGGUUCUUGGUGAAAGUGGCUCAGGUGAACUUUGCUCCUGGUCAGAUUCGGACAUGCGCACACCAAGGAAGUCAAUUAAGUGCUUUCAAUGGAGAUAACAACAAAAUACAAAAACUGAAUACUAAAAGAAAAACUGACGAAAAGAAACAAAUGAAACAAACAAAAACAAAACAAUCAAAGUAAUCUAACUAUAGCACCAUCAUUACCGGUUUCCCCGGCAACGGCGCCAAAAACUUGUUGAGCCUAUUCUUAACAACUAAAAUGAGUUAUUAAAAACAGCAACUUUAAUUCUCGCAAGUGCACGAACCGUUUAUAGUAUAGCUUAUGUAAAUACGAGGUCGAUCCCACGGAGAAUGGUAACUUGGUUCCAAGUUAAAUUACUUAGAAUGCUAGAAAAACAUAGAACAAAGAAAGUGACUAACUAGCUAAAGGCAAGGUCGAAUUCAACAAUGCCUCUUGCUAAUUACUCAAGGUCUAGGACAGAAUCCUAGCACCACACACGCACUCGAAAUGGGGGGUUUUGUUGUUGAAAUGAAAACAAGAAAGUGAAAUGAAAGUGCUCGAAAGUAAACACUGGCAGCAAUCAACAAAUUGUGAAACAAUGAUUGAGAGGUGUUAGAGCCUUGGAAUCUGCCACUAGUCUUCCUAUCCAAGUUAUGAAUGCAUAGAAAUUGACUCAAGCUUCAUCAACAAUAGAUUAUCGCAUACAAGCCUAUGGUAUCUAGGUGCAGGAUGCAUCAUUCUCCUAAGGCAUGUGAUUGUGCAUGGUAUCUACACAGCACGUGAUCUCUAAUAUGCAACCUAAGCAUGGUAUCUACUUAGAAUAAAGCAUACAAGAGUCAUUAAGCUCCUUGAGAAUAUGAUAAUCACACAAGUCCUAGAACAUGGUAUCUGUCCUAGUCAACCUAUGGUUGUUAACCCCUUGAAUGAUUCUUAGGCCAUUCAUGUGUUGCUUGUGAAAGGAGAGUAGAAUUGGUGAAUCUAAACCCCUUCCCAACCUGUGCUAGAUGCAUAAAAUCCUAGUUAGCUACUCCAAGAAAACAUACAUCAAGCACAUAAUAAACUGGAGAUUAACAACUUGAUAAUAAAAGCAGGGAAAUCAAUUAACUAUAAAAUCAUCCAUAACGUUGAAUAUUCAUGACUAGGGCUUCAUCCUAAGCCCUAACUAAAUGGAUUAGUUAGACAUAACUAUGAACACAGAAAAUAAGAAAUACAUAGAUAGGAUAAAGAGAGGAGAAGAACUAGAUGAUGGCAGCAAGGAAGUUCCCAGGACAGCUCCAAGCUCCCUUGACAGCUCCAAGCUCCCUUCUGUCUUUGUGGUGAAUCUGAAUGUGUGUAUGAGAGUAAUGGAUGAAGUGAAUGUGUGUGUCUGCUCUCUCUCCUUGAAUGAGUGUGCAACUCUCUAUUUAUAGAGUGCAAUUUCGUGCUCCCCUUUGGCUGGUGAAACACACCUCUCUUAGCUGCUCCCAAUUGCCUAAGCUGCCCAAUAAAUGCCAACUUUUCCAGCUGCCCAAUAAAUGCUUUGGUGGACUUUUCUUGGUUUCUUUAUGGAAAGCUUGACUUUUGUUCAUCCUUUUGGGUUCCCAUACUGAUUUGUCUCCCAUGUGUAGCCUACCAUAAUUCCUGGAAAAUGGUCCUUGAUUUGUGCAGACAAGAUCCCCAUAAUUAAGCAUGCCAUGUUUUGCUCCUUUUUGACUUCCAUAGCUGAAAUGCCUCCCUAAUUUGCUCAACAUGUCAGGUCCAAAGUCAAACAAUGAUGAAGUGAGGCACAUGGCUCAAGGGAGGUGUGGAGCACAAGGCUCACCAGCUGGCAGCUACAUAUUAAAAUCCUCCUAGAGCAUGGUUCAGUGUUUGACAGGCCAAGGACUCUAUCUGUCAUUAAUUGGGCUGAAAUUUGGAUAUGUUAUACUAGACACCCAUUGGAACAACUUCUGUGAAGCAUGUCUCCUCAUCCAAGUAGUGUAGGUUGCUGAAAUGAGGCCUGCAAGAUGACCCACGAAUUUGGACUGACAAGGAGUGUGGCCCAAAUUGGUUCUGUCAUUAAGCUCAUAUUCCUCUUGUGCCAAUCAACCCUUAACAUGCAUGAAUUGUAUCAAAUGUGAUCCCCUUGUUGUCCUAACCUACAAAACACACAAACAUAGGUAAGAGACUCAAAAUAAAGAGAAACUAAACAAAAUUACUAAGCAAAGAAGGCAUGCAAAUGUGUGAAAUUAUGACCUUAUC